This 253-nucleotide ribosomal RNA is filed under the name uncultured bacterium. RNAcentral's name for it is "partial 16S ribosomal RNA". It matches the Rfam family "Bacterial small subunit ribosomal RNA", at positions 524 to 776 of the family's 1533-position model. The record is from RNAcentral.
UACAGAGGGCUCAAGCGUUGUUCGGAUUCAUUGGGCGUAAAGGGUGCGUAGGCGGCGAGGUAAGUCAGAUGUGAAAUCCCGGAGCUUAACUCCGGAACUGCAUUUGAUACUGCUUUGCUUGAGGACUGGAGAGGAGAUCGGAAUUCACGGUGUAGCAGUGAAACGCGUAGAUAUCGUGAGGAAGGCCAGUGGCGAAGGCGGAUCUCUGGACAGUUCCUGACGCUGAGGCACGAAGGCCAGGGGAGCAAACGGG